RNAcentral lists this ribosomal RNA (278 nucleotides) under uncultured archaeon. RNAcentral's name for it is "partial 16S rRNA". It matches the Rfam family "Archaeal small subunit ribosomal RNA", at positions 1047 to 1323 of the family's 1478-position model. The record is from RNAcentral.
GAGACCUGUAUCCACAAUUGCUAACGACUCAUUUUGAGAAUCGAGCACAUUGUGGGGACUGCCUUGGAAACAAGGAGGAAGGUGCAGGCAACGGUAGGUCUGUAUGCUCCGAAUCUUCUGGGCUACACGCGCGCAACAAUGGUACGGACAAUGGGCUGCAACUCCGAAAGGAGAAGCUAAUCCUCGAAAUCGUAUCUUAAUUCAAAUUGAGGGCUGUAAUUCGCCCUCAUGACGUUGGAAUCCCUAGUAAUCGGAUCUCAUCACGGUCCGGUGAAUGU